Molecule: small RNA, 107 nt
Filed under: Marmota monax (woodchuck)
Lineage: Eukaryota; Metazoa; Chordata; Mammalia; Rodentia; Sciuridae
Source: RNAcentral
GCUGGCUGCAGUGGUGCACACCUGUAAUCCCAUCUACUCAGGAGGCUGAGGCAGAAGGAUUGCAAGUUUGAGACCAGCCUGGGCAAUGUAGCAAGACCCUGUCUCAA